GAAAUGCGAUACUUGGUGUGAAUUGCAGAAUCUAGUGAAUCAUCGAAUCUUUGAACGCACAUUGCGCCUUCUGGCAUUCCGGGAGGCACGUCUGUUUGAGCGUCAGCAACACCUCAAAGCUUGCUUUGGUUAUGGGACGGGUCAGCCCCUCUCCGGGGGGCAUGCCCUCCUUAACGUUGCCCGACGAUAGCGAACCAGCAGCCUGGCAGUAGACGUAGUAAAUCUUUCUCGUUUGCCUGCUUGGGAGGCCGGUUGCCAACAAAAACCCCCAAACCUUUUGACCUCAAAUCAGACGAGGAUACCCGCUGAACUUAA
RNAcentral lists this unclassified non-coding RNA (315 nucleotides) under uncultured Orbiliales. Its description in RNAcentral is "sequence contains ITS1". The stretch from base 1 to 105 matches the Rfam family "5.8S ribosomal RNA", at positions 50 to 154 of the family's 154-position model. Lineage: Eukaryota; Fungi; Ascomycota; Orbiliomycetes; Orbiliales. The record is from RNAcentral.